AUUGAACGCUGGCGGCAGGCCUAACACAUGCAAGUCGAACGGCAGCACAGAAGAGCUUGCUCUCUGGGUGGCGAGUGGCGGACGGGUGAGUAAUGUCUGGGAAACUGCCCGAUGGAGGGGGAUAACUACUGGAAACGGUAGCUAAUACCGCAUAACGUCGCAAGACCAAAGUGGGGGACCUUCGGGCCUCACACCAUCGGAUGUGCCCAGAUGGGAUUAGCUAGUAGGUGGGGUAAUGGCUCACCUAAGCGACGAUCCCUAGCUGGUCUGAGAGGAUGACCAGCCACACUGGAACUGAGACACGGUCCAGACUCCUACGGGAGGCAGCAGUGGGGAAUAUUGCACAAUGGGCGCAAGCCUGAUGCAGCCAUGCCGCGUGUAUGAAGAAGGCCUUCGGGUUGUAAAGUACUUUCAGCGGGGAGGAAGGCGGUGAGGUUAAUAACCUUGCCGAUUGACGUUACCCGCAGAAGAAGCACCGGCUAACUCCGUGCCAGCAGCCGCCGUAA
This 506-nucleotide ribosomal RNA is filed under the name uncultured bacterium. RNAcentral describes it as "partial 16S ribosomal RNA". It matches the Rfam family "Bacterial small subunit ribosomal RNA", at positions 30 to 523 of the family's 1533-position model. The record is from RNAcentral.